This 72-nucleotide transfer RNA is filed under the name Woeseiaceae bacterium. RNAcentral describes it as "tRNA-Gln". It matches the Rfam family "tRNA". Rfam says of the family: Transfer RNA (tRNA) molecules are approximately 80 nucleotides in length. Their secondary structure includes four short double-helical elements and three loops (D, anti-codon, and T loops). Lineage: Bacteria; Pseudomonadati; Pseudomonadota; Gammaproteobacteria; Woeseiales; Woeseiaceae. The record is from RNAcentral.
UCUUCCAUAGUGUAGUGGUUAGCACUUGAGACUUUGAAUCUCGCAUCGGGUGUUCGAAUCACCCUGGAAGAA